This 460-nucleotide ribosomal RNA is filed under the name uncultured bacterium. RNAcentral describes it as "partial 16S ribosomal RNA". It matches the Rfam family "Bacterial small subunit ribosomal RNA", at positions 338 to 795 of the family's 1533-position model. The record is from RNAcentral.
CCUACGGGAGGCAGCAGUGAGGAAUAUUGGUCAAUGGACGAGAGUCUGAACCAGCCAAGUAGCGUGAAGGAUGACUGCCCUAUGGGUUGUAAACUUCUUUUAUAUGGGAAUAAAAUGUUCCACGUGUGGGAUUUUGUAUGUACCAUAUGAAUAAGGAUCGGCUAACUCCGUGCCAGCAGCCGCGGUAAUACGGAGGAUCCGAGCGUUAUCCGGAUUUAUUGGGUUUAAAGGGAGCGUAGGUGGAUUGUUAAGUCAGUUGUGAAAGUUUGCGGCUCAACCGUAAAAUUGCAGUUGAACAUGGCAGUCUUGAGUACAGUAGAGGUGGGCGGAAUGCGUGGUGUAGCGGUGAAAUGCUUAGAUAUCACGAAGAACUCCGAUUGCGAAGGCAGUUCACUGGACUGCAACUGACACUGAGGCUCGAAAGUGUGGGUAUCAAACAGGAUUAGAUACCCGUGUAGUC